This 515-nucleotide ribosomal RNA is filed under the name uncultured Actinomycetes bacterium. RNAcentral's name for it is "bacterial SSU rRNA". It matches the Rfam family "Bacterial small subunit ribosomal RNA", at positions 355 to 878 of the family's 1533-position model. The record is from RNAcentral. Lineage: Bacteria; Bacillati; Actinomycetota; Actinomycetes.
UGGGGAAUAUUGGACAAUGGGCGGAAGCCUGAUCCAGCAACGCCGCGUGAGGGAUGACGGCCUUCGGGUUGUAAACCUCUUUCAGUACCGACGAAGCGAAAGUGACGGUAGGUACAGAAGAAGCACCGGCCAACUACGUGCCAGCAGCCGCGGUAAUACGUAGGGUGCGAGCGUUGUCCGGAAUUAUUGGGCGUAAAGGGCUCGUAGGCGGUUUGUCGCGUCGGGAGUGAAAACACUGGGCUUAACUCAGUGCUUGCUUCCGAUACGGGCAGACUAGAGGUAUGCAGGGGGAGAACGGAAUUCCUGGUGUAGCGGUGAAAUGCGCAGAUAUCAGGAGGAACACCGGUGGCGAAGGCGGUUCUCUGGGCAUUACCUGACGCUGAGGAGCGAAAGUGUGGGGAGCGGAACAGGAUUAGAUACCCUGGUAGUCCACACCGUAAACGUUGGGCGCUAGGUGUGGGGUCCAUUCCACGGAUUCCGUGCCGCAGCUAACGCAUUAAGCGCCCCGCCUGGGG